RNAcentral lists this ribosomal RNA (253 nucleotides) under uncultured bacterium. RNAcentral describes it as "partial 16S ribosomal RNA". It matches the Rfam family "Bacterial small subunit ribosomal RNA", at positions 524 to 776 of the family's 1533-position model. The record is from RNAcentral.
UACGUAGGGUGCAAGCGUUGUCCGGAAUUAUUAGGCGUAAAGAGCUCGUAGGCGGUUUGUCGCGUCUGCUGUGAAAACGCGAGGCUCAACCUCGCGCCUGCAGUGGGUACGGGCAGACUAGAGUGCGGUAGGGGAGAUUGGAAUUCCUGGUGUAGCGGUGGAAUGCGCAGAUAUCAGGAGGAACACCGAUGGCGAAGGCAGAUCUCUGGGCCGUAACUGACGCUGAGGAGCGAAAGCGUGGGGAGCGAACAGG